GGCUCAGAACGAACGCGGGCGGCGUGCCUAACACAUGCAAGUCGAACGGAGUUGAGGGGCUUGCUCCUCAAUUUAGUGGCGCACGGGUGAGUAACGCGUAGAUAAUCUGCCUGAUGAUCUGGGAUAACACUUCGAAAGGGGUGCUAAUACCGGAUAAGCCCACGGGGUCUUUGGAUUCUGCGGGAAAAGGGGGGGACCUUCGGGCCUUCUGUCAUCAGAUGAGUCUGCGUACCAUUAGCUAGUUGGUAGGGUAAUGGCCUACCAAGGCUACGAUGGUUAGCUGGUUUGAGAGAAUGAUCAGCCACACUGGAACUGAGACACGGUCCAGACUCCUACGGGAGGCAGCAGUGGGGAAUUUUGCGCAAUGGGCGAAAGCCUGACGCAGCAACGCCGCGUGAGUGAUGAAGGCUUUCGGGUCGUAAAGCUCUGUCGAGGGGAAAGAAGUGUAUUGUGGCUAAUAUCCACGAUACUUGACGGUACCCCUAAAGGAAGCACCGGCUAACUCCGUGCCAGCAGCCGCGGUAAUACGGGGGGUGCAAGCGUUGUUCGGAAUUAUUGGGCGUAAAGAGCGUGUAGGCGGUUUGUUAAGUCUGUUGUGAAAGCCCUGGGCUCAACCCAGGAAGUGCACUGGAUACUGGCAGACUUGAAUACGGGAGAGGGUAGUGGAAUUCCUAGUGUAGGAGUGAAAUCCGUAGAUAUUAGGAGGAACACCGGUGGCGAAGGCGGCUACCUGGACCGAUAUUGACGCUGAGACGCGAAAGCGUGGGUAGCAAACAGGAUUAGAUACCCUGGUAGUCCACGCCGUAAACGAUGAGAACUAGGUGUUGCGGGUAUUGACCCCUGCAGUGCCGCAGCUAACGCAUUAAGUUCUCCGCCUGGGGAGUACGGUCGCAAGACUAAAACU
RNAcentral lists this ribosomal RNA (904 nucleotides) under uncultured bacterium. RNAcentral describes it as "bacterial SSU rRNA". It matches the Rfam family "Bacterial small subunit ribosomal RNA", at positions 21 to 901 of the family's 1533-position model. The record is from RNAcentral.